AACAAGGCGUACCUGCGGACCUGCGGAAGGAUCAUUAUUGAAUAAACUUGGUUGGGUUGUUGCUGGCUCCUUGGAGCAUGUGCACGCCUAGCACCAAUUUUUACCACCUGUGCACCAUUUGUGGACCUGGAUACCUCUCGAGGAAACUCGGUUGGAGGACUGCUGUGUGAAAGCCAGCUUUCCUUACAUUUCCGGUUCAUCUUUUCACAUACCCCAUACGAAUGUAUCAGACUGUUGUUU
This 240-nucleotide unclassified non-coding RNA is filed under the name soil metagenome. Its description in RNAcentral is "partial contains 5.8S ribosomal RNA, internal transcribed spacer 2, and large subunit ribosomal RNA". The record is from RNAcentral.